UACAGAGGAUGCAAGCGUUAUCCGGAAUUAUUGGGCGUAAAGCGUCUGUAGGUGGCUUUUUAAGUCCGCCGUCAAAUCCCAGGGCUCAACUCUGGACAGGCGGUGGAAACGACCAAGCUGGAGUACGGUAGGGGCAGAGGGAAUUUCCAGUGGAGCGGUGAAAUGCGUAGAGAUCGGAAAGAACACCAACGGCGAAAGCACUCUGCUGGGCCGACACUGACACUGAGAGACGAAAGCUAGGGGAGCAAAUGGG
Molecule: ribosomal RNA, 253 nt
Filed under: uncultured bacterium
Lineage: Bacteria
Description: partial 16S ribosomal RNA
Rfam family: Bacterial small subunit ribosomal RNA
Source: RNAcentral